This 509-nucleotide ribosomal RNA is filed under the name delta proteobacterium enrichment culture clone F4_B9. Its description in RNAcentral is "bacterial SSU rRNA". It matches the Rfam family "Bacterial small subunit ribosomal RNA", at positions 29 to 508 of the family's 1533-position model. Lineage: Bacteria; Deltaproteobacteria. The record is from RNAcentral.
AACGAACGCUGGCGCGCGUGCUUAACACAUGCAAGUCGUACGAGGAAACACAUCCUUCGGGGUGUGGAGUAAAGUGGCGCACGGGUGAGUAACACGUGGGUAACCUACCCUGAGGAUCGGGAUAACUGGCCGAAAGGCCCGCUAAUACCGGAUAAGACCACAUGGGCUCAGGCCCAAGAGGUCAAAGUCGGCCUAUCGAAGAAGCCGGCACCUUAGGAGGGGCUCGCGGACCAUUAGCUAGUUGGUAGGGUAACGGCCUACCAAGGCUGAGAUGGUUAGCUGGUCUGAGAGGAUGACCAGCCACACUGGAACUGAGAUACGGUCCAGACUCCUACGGGAGGCAGCAGUGAGGAAUAUUGCGCAAUGGAGGAAACUCUGACGCAGCAACGCCGCGUGGGUGAAGAAGGCCUUCGGGUUGUAAAGCCCUGUCAGGUGGGAAGAAACCUCGAUAGGUGAAUAUCCUAUCGAACCGACGGUACCACCAAAGGAAGCACSGGCAUUCUCCGUGC